RNAcentral lists this ribosomal RNA (273 nucleotides) under uncultured bacterium. Its description in RNAcentral is "partial 16S ribosomal RNA". It matches the Rfam family "Bacterial small subunit ribosomal RNA", at positions 524 to 796 of the family's 1533-position model. The record is from RNAcentral.
UACAGAGGGUGCAAACGUUGCUCGGAAUUAUUGGGCGUAAAGCGCACGUAGGCGGUUUGGUAAGUUGGAUGUGAAAACCCUGGGCUCAACCCUGGAAGUGCAUCCAAGACUGUCAAGCUAGAGUGUCGGAGGGGGUCGGAGAAUUCCCGGUGUAGAGGUGAAAUUCGUAGAUAUCGGGAGGAACAUCUGUGGCGAAGGCGCCGACCUGGACGACAACUGACGCUGAGGUGCGAAAGCAUGGGGAGCAAACAGGAUUAGAAACCCCCGUAGUCC